Molecule: unclassified non-coding RNA, 248 nt
Filed under: fungal sp.
Lineage: Eukaryota; Fungi
Description: partial internal transcribed spacer region
Rfam family: Eukaryotic small subunit ribosomal RNA (bases 1-46)
Source: RNAcentral
AAGUCGUAACAAGGUCUCCGUUGGUGAACCAGCGGAGGGAUCAUUAAAGAGUUGCAAAACUCCCUUUAAACCAUCGCGAACGUUACCCACGACGCCGUUGCCUCGGCGGAGCGUCGCCCCGUGCCGUCAAAAAGUACGGGGCGGCGCCCGCCGGGAGACCGGCACAACCAAACUCUUAUAACCAUUGGCCUCUCUGAGUAAGAUUUUUAAAUAAGUCAAAACUUUCAACAACGGAUCUCUUGGUUCUG